RNAcentral lists this ribosomal RNA (494 nucleotides) under uncultured bacterium. Its description in RNAcentral is "partial 16S ribosomal RNA". It matches the Rfam family "Bacterial small subunit ribosomal RNA", at positions 30 to 523 of the family's 1533-position model. The record is from RNAcentral.
AUUGAACGCUGGCGGAAUGCUUUACACAUGCAAGUCGAACGGUAGAGGGGCAACCCUUGAGAGUGGCGAACGGGUGAGUAAUACAUCGGAACGUGCCCAGUCGUGGGGGAUAACGUAGCGAAAGUUACGCUAAUACCGCAUACGAUCUGCGGAUGAAAGCAGGGGACCGAAAGGCCUCGCGCGAUUGGAGCGGCCGAUGUCAGAUUAGGUAGUUGGUGGGGUAAAGGCCCACCAAGCCGACGAUCUGUAGCUGGUCUGAGAGGACGACCAGCCACACUGGGACUGAGACACGGCCCAGACUCCUACGGGAGGCAGCAGUGGGGAAUUUUGGACAAUGGGCGCAAGCCUGAUCCAGCCAUUCCGCGUGCAGGAUGAAGGCCUUCGGGUUGUAAACUGCUUUUGUACAGAACGAAAAGCUCUGGGUUAAUACCCUGGGGUCAUGACGGUACUGUAAGAAUAAGCACCGGCUAACUACGUGCCAGCCGCCGCCGUAA